This 406-nucleotide ribosomal RNA is filed under the name uncultured bacterium. RNAcentral's name for it is "partial 16S ribosomal RNA". It matches the Rfam family "Bacterial small subunit ribosomal RNA", at positions 30 to 526 of the family's 1533-position model. The record is from RNAcentral.
AUUGAACGCUGGCGGCAGGCCUAACACAUGCAAGUCGAACGAGUGGCGGACGGGUGAGUAAUGUCUGGGAAACUGCCUGAUGGAGGGGUAUCACUACUGGAAACGGUCUCUAAUACCGCAUACCCUCAGAUGUCCCCAGCUGGGAUUAGCUGGUGGGUGGGGUAAAGGCUCACCAAGGCGGCGCUCCCUCGCUGGUCUGAGAGGAUGACCAGCCACACUGGAACUGAGACACGGUCCAGACUCCUACGGGAGGCAGCAGUGGGGAAUAUUGCACAAUGGGCGCAAGCCUGAUGCAGCCAUGCCGCGUGUAUGAAGAAGGCCUUCGGGUUGUAAAGUACUUUCAGCGGGGAGGCGGUACCCGCAGAAGAAGCACCGGCUAACUCCGUGCCAGCAGCCGCGGUAAUUC